Molecule: long non-coding RNA, 2062 nt
Filed under: Sorghum bicolor (sorghum)
Lineage: Eukaryota; Viridiplantae; Streptophyta; Magnoliopsida; Poales; Poaceae
Description: long non-coding RNA (SBIC_LNC015579)
Source: RNAcentral
ACUAUGAAGUCUUUCAAAGGUUCGUCUAACAAGUUAGGGCCGCUUGGUUUCGGUAGUCAGUCCGUGUGAUUCUACCCCGUAGGGGAUCCACGGUCUGCUAUCCCCCAUUUGCGCCACACGGGUAACCUCUAACAAGCUAGAAAAAUUACUUAUACUUGACUAAAGCCAGAGCCAUUAUAGCCCUCAUGGUUGCACUUUCAUCCCGGUUAUCACUUACGAAUAAAUCCUCAAGUUGCUAAAAAGUCAUUAUUAUCAUUUGUUGCUUUAUAUUAAUCUAGUCACAAGAUCAUAGUCAUAGAAUUAAAACCCAAAUGCUAUACUUGCCUUGAUCCAAUUGCUCCUGCUGGUCCUGCUGAUCUUACUUGCUUCCAAGGCUCUCAUCUUGAUCACCGAAGUAAUGCCCACUGUCUAAUCUCGAUCAUCGAUUAUCGACACACAAGCAUUCAAGGCUACACAUACACAAAGCAAACAAAGCUACAAUUAGAACAGUACACCAGCAGUAAAUAAAUUUAAAUAAAAGUUUCCAAAAUCAUCUACACGUUGCUACGAUCACGUCAAUGAGAAAUUCACGGAAAACGGAGUUACGACAUGAAAUCUACGCAUUAAACGGGACUGCGAAGGCUAUCUACGGACUUGUAUUUAACUAGGAAAUCUAACAGUGGUGAACCUAGAAAACAAUGGUACCAACGCGAAGCUUAUGAAAUUAUAAAACUAAAGCAACUUGAACGGAUCGAAUCGGAGCUAAAACAGAGAAGAUAUGAAUUUUCUAAGAUUUUCUUUAGAAAAGUAAUUAAUUAAAUAGGGUCACAAAAUUAAAAUAUUUCAAACUGAUGAACCAAGAUUACUAACAUGUAGAUCUCGCGAAAACGAAUCUAACGCAAUUUGAACGGGUCAAAUCGGAGCUAAAACGAAUAUUUUAUGGCCAAAACAUUGCAGUGGCAAUUCUGUAAUUAAGUUGAAGUCGUAAAUGAAAUUUAAAUCAAAUUUCAAUCUGGAUCUGGAGUUUGCCGAGGACUGCGGGUUCUAUAUCUAUGAAGUCGAGGGGCUCUUUAAUAAAAAUCCCCGCGAAGGGGUAAGUUCUAAUCAUGGUCGUUGGAUCAAGCUUGGAUGCGCAUGAUUAAAAGAAAAAAAAAAGAAAAAGAGAGAGAGAGAGGGAGGGGGCGGUUGGAGGAAGAAGAAGUUGCUGACGGGUGGGUCCCACAUGGCAGAGAGAGAAAGGGAAAGGAGAAGGCGGGCUGGCAGUUGCUGCGCGAGUUGGGCCGGGCUGGAAUGAGAGAGAGGGGGAGGGAAUAGGAUUUUUCUUUUUAUUUUUCAAUAAAUUUUCAAAGCUCAUUUUUUAAAUUUGAAUUUGAAUAAAUUCUCUUUGCAAAACUUCACACAUCACAAAAAUGAAUGUUGCAGCAUGUAUGCAUCAAUAUAUUUCUAAUCUUACGGUAAAUUUUAAUUUCCCAAAAAAUUAUUAUUUUUCCUAUAUUUUGAUGCUCACAAAAUUGACUCAAUAAAUCAAAUUCAACUAUUUAAAACAAGGGAAUUUUUAGGGUGUUACAAUUCUACCCCCUUAAAAUGAAUCUCGUCCUCGAGAUUCGAAAGAGGCUCAGAUCCUCUGAGAGAAACAGGAAAAUAUCUUGAUAAUCCUUUCAACUUCACAACUUGCAUACCAAACUUAAACACUUGUCUCAAGGUCACACCUCGUGAACAACAUUUCCAUUGAAUAACUAUUAUUCAUAGUUGACCGAAGUCCAUCUUGACUACUAAUCCUCUUAUCUUACAACUCCAAGAGACAUAGAAACUUAAUAUGCAUUUACUUCAUCAGGUAGGAGUGGACCACCAUGAUACUCAAUUCUUUUUCCUGACGGUGCUGUUAAGAGCAUUUUGUACUAGAUACCAUAGAUCACUCCUUUGUGUGCACACAACCAUCCAUUACCAAGGACCAAGGGAAUACCAAGCGACUCUAGCACAAUGAGGUUUACAGUGAAGUUUUCCUUGUUUAUGACCAGAUUGAUAUUUGAGCACACCUGAUCUGCUUGUAUUUCUCCCACUGGGGUUUGAACUAGUAAAGGCU